AACGAUAGAUAAAUGUCCCUUCUACAACAUGUGAUGUGUGUCUUCUCGAAUUUGUGCGAUUUCGGAUGAGCAAUAUUAUUUUGAAUGAUAAAAAUCGUUGUUGAAGCUUGCACAUAUUAAAAUGUCAGAAGAAACAGGUAUGUCCUUAAUCUUUGUGUUUAAGCUCUAAUUUGAUGUAUAAUUUGUAUUGUGAAAGCCUCCAAGUCACUCCCUAAUUGUAUUUGAAUAUUAGGUAUUUCAAAGUAUGGAAGCGACUUCGCUAAGUAAAAAUGUUGUGUGAUUGCCGGAAUACGAAG
Paramuricea clavata is the source of this 296-nucleotide non-coding RNA. The record is from the annotation of a GenBank genome assembly. Lineage: Eukaryota; Metazoa; Cnidaria; Anthozoa; Malacalcyonacea; Plexauridae.